Molecule: ribosomal RNA, 433 nt
Filed under: uncultured bacterium
Lineage: Bacteria
Description: partial 16S ribosomal RNA
Rfam family: Bacterial small subunit ribosomal RNA
Source: RNAcentral
AGCGAACGCUGGCGGCAGGCUUAACACAUGCAAGUCGAGCGGGCACUUCGGUGUCAGCGGCAGACGGGUGAGUAACACGUGGGAACGUACCCGUUGGUUCGGAAUAACGCUGGGAAACUAGCGCUAAUACCGGAUACGCCCUUUUGGGGAAAGGCUUGCUGCCGAAGGAUCGGCCCGCGUCUGAUUAGCUAGUUGGUGGGGUAAUGGCCUACCAAGGCGACGAUCAGUAGCUGGUCUGAGAGGAUGAUCAGCCACGCUGGGGCUGAGACACGGCCUAGAACCCUACGGGAGGGAGCAGUGGGGAAUAUUGGACGAUGGGCGCAAGCCUGAUCCAGCCAUGCCGGGUGAGUGAUGAAGGCCUUAGGGUUGUAAAGCCCUUUUGUCCGGGACGAUAAUGACGGUACCGGAAGAAUAAGCCCCGGCUAACUUCGUG